Molecule: ribosomal RNA, 252 nt
Filed under: uncultured bacterium
Lineage: Bacteria
Description: partial 16S ribosomal RNA
Rfam family: Bacterial small subunit ribosomal RNA
Source: RNAcentral
ACCUACGGGGGGCAGCAGUGGGGAAUAUUGCACAAUGGGGGGAACCCUGAUGCAGCAACGCCGCGUGAGUGAAGAAGUAUUUCGGUAUGUAAAGCUCUAUCAGCAGGGAAGAAGAUGACGGUACCUGAGUAAGAAGCCCCGGCUAACUACGUGCCAGCAGCCGCGGUAAUACGUAGGGGGCAAGCGUUAUCCGGAUUUACUGGGUGUAAAGGGAGCGUAGACGGCGAGGCAAGUCUGGAGUGAAAGCCCGGG